RNAcentral lists this long non-coding RNA (256 nucleotides) under Nicotiana benthamiana. RNAcentral's name for it is "long non-coding RNA (NBEN_LNC023702)". The record is from RNAcentral. Lineage: Eukaryota; Viridiplantae; Streptophyta; Magnoliopsida; Solanales; Solanaceae.
CGAAAAGCACCCUACCCUCCUCAUUCUUCUUCCCCAUUUCAAACCCUCAGAGAGACCAGAACCCCAAAACCCUAGCCGCCUCUAGGCAAUUUGCAGCAGAAACCCGGCGGCAACGACGCCGCCAGUCACCCCGUUAACACCACAGAACCCCCAUCACACCCUAAAGCCAAAUCCACUAACCCCUAAACUCGAAUCAAACAGAACCUUCUUGAAUCCAAACUAGUCUUGGUUAGGAGCUAUGAGUCCAAAUUACAAG